AACGUAAGAUGCAGAGAUACAUACACACAGAUAGAUCUCAAUUUCCCAAAUAGAAUUACAACAUACACCCCACUCAACCCAUCAAAACGCGUCUUCUUUUUCCCUUUAUUUCUUCCCUUCCUCCCUCUAUAUAUAUGCAACACACCGUUACAACCUGCGAUGCCAUUCUCUCCUACAACAACAUCAUCAUGCCUCCAACACUACUCUUCUUCUUCUUCUUUCCUCUUCUCUCCUCUGCACAACUCAACCACACCUCAUUCUCACUCUCUUUCCCUCUCACUUCACUCCCUCUCCCCACCAACACCGCCUCCAACAUGCUACGCGACUCUCUCAUUGUGUACACAAACCGCACCAGAAACACCACGCGACUCGUUUCGCCUUCUUCUCCCUAUAACUACAGGCUCACCUUCAAUUACUCCAUGGCUUUGAUCGUCAACCUUCCCAUUGGGACCCCGCCGCAGGUUCAGCCUAUGGUCUUGGACACCGGAAGCCAACUCUCCUGGAUUCAGUGUCACAAAAAACCACCCAGGCUGCCUCCUCCAACGGCGUCCUUUGACCCUUCUCGCUCCUCCACUUUCUCUAAUCUCCCUUGUACUCACCCCGUUUGCAAACCGCGGAUUCCCGAUUUUACCCUCCCCACCUCCUGCGACCAGAACCGCCUCUGUCACUACUCCUACUUCUACGCCGACGGUACCUACGCCGAGGGAAAUCUCGUCAGAGAAAAAUUCACUUUCUCCCGUUCCCUUUUUACCCCUCCUUUGAUCCUCGGCUGCGCCACGGAGUCCACCGACCCCAGGGGCAUUUUGGGAAUGAACCGUGGACGCCUCUCAUUCGCUUCACAAUCUAAAAUUACCAAAUUCUCCUACUGCGUUCCCACCGAGAAACCCGACCCGGAUCCACUCCAACAGGCUCCUUCUACCUGGGCCACAACCCGAACUCUCUCCGGUUUCGGUUUAUCCCGAUGUUGACUUUUGCUCAGAGUCAACGUAUGCCAAAUCUUGACCCCUUGGCUUAUACCGUCGCCUUGCAGGGGAUAAGAAUCGGGGGCAGAAAACUGAACAUUUCGCCGGCGGUUUUUCGCGCCGACGCUGGCGGGUCGGGUCAAACCAUGAUUGACUCCGGAUCCGAGUUUACUUACCUCGUUAAUGAGGCUUAUGAUAAGGUGCGGGCGGAAGUAGUGAGGACUGUGGGGCCAAGAAUGAAGAAGGAUUACGUGUACGGUGGCAUUGCGGACAUGUGCUUCGACGGGAAUGCGAUUGAGAUCGGACGGAUGAUAGGGGACAUGGUGUUUGAGUUCGAGAAGGGCGUGGAAAUAGUGAUUCCCAAGGAGGGGGUUCUGGCUUCCGUGGAGGGUGGGGUCCAUUGCGUCGGGAUUGGCAACUCUGAUAAAUUAGGUGCGGCCAGUAACAUCAUCGGGAAUUUCCAUCAGCAGAAUCUGUGGGUGGAGUUUGAUCUCGCCAAUCGCAGAGUGGGUUUCGGUGCGGCUGAUUGUAGCAGAUUGGCUCCAUAGAGGGAAACCCUUAGAUACGUAAUGGUGCACGUACCUUACGUGUGUCAGCUGUAGGUAAUUAGGGAUUUUGUACGAAGGAAAUAUCAACGUGUCACGUGUAUGAGGAGUGUUAUACCGGUGAGAUGAUGAUGAUAAUGAAGUUGAAACUGAUCACACGGUCCAAGAGCGAUGAAGAAAAAGAAAGUUCUGCAGCUGUUGCCAUGAUGACACCAAAACGUGGUUCGUUUAAGAUCGACGUGUGGGGCUGGUUUUGGAGUAUGUGUGAGGAAGCCACAUAAAUAUGUUGUUCUCUGUAAUAUGAACGAGACCAUGACACAUUGUAUAUAUACGAGGAUUAAUUAGAGUAUGUCUAUUAUAAAUUUAAUAUUAAUAUAUAUAUGAACCAUUGGUUUGUUUUUUUUAAA
Molecule: non-coding RNA, 1914 nt
Organism: Vigna unguiculata (cowpea)
Lineage: Eukaryota; Viridiplantae; Streptophyta; Magnoliopsida; Fabales; Fabaceae
Source: RefSeq, a predicted model, not a curated record